AAACCAACAGGGAUUGCCUCAGUAACGGCGAGUGAAGCGGCAAAAGCUCAAAUUUGAAAUCUAGCACCUUCGGUGUUCGAGUUGUAAUUUGAAGAUGGCAACCUUGGGUUUGGCUCUUGUCUAUGUUCCUUGGAACAGGACGUCAUAGAGGGUGAGAAUCCCGUCUGAUGAGAUGCCCAUUCCUUUGUAAGGUGCUAUCGAAGAGUCGAGUUGUUUGGGAAUGCAGCUCUAAGUGGGUGGUAAAUUCCAUCUAAAGCUAAAUAUUGGCGAGAGACCGAUAGCGAACAAGUACAGUGAUGGAAAGAUGAAAAGAACUUUGAAAAGAGAGUGAAAAAGUACGUGAAAUUGUUGAAAGGGAAGGGCAUUAGAUCAGACUUGGUGUUUUAUGAUUAUCUUCUCUUCUUGAGUUGUGCACUCGUAUUUCACUGGGCCAGCAUCGAUUCGGAUGGCAAGAUAAUGACAGUUGAAUGUGGCUUCAUUCGUGGAGUGUUAUAGCUUCUGUUGAUAUUGCCUGUCUGGAUCGAGGGCUGCGUCUUUGACUAGGAUGCUGGCGUAAUGAUCUAAUGCCGCCCGUCUUG
Molecule: ribosomal RNA, 578 nt
Filed under: Hansenula sydowiorum
Lineage: Eukaryota; Fungi; Ascomycota; Saccharomycetes; Phaffomycetales; Wickerhamomycetaceae
Description: eukaryotic LSU rRNA
Rfam family: Eukaryotic large subunit ribosomal RNA
Source: RNAcentral